Oxyura jamaicensis (ruddy duck) is the source of this 587-nucleotide long non-coding RNA. RefSeq lists it as uncharacterized. The record is from RefSeq and is a predicted model, not a curated record. The transcript has 3 exons. NCBI's taxonomy places the organism in Eukaryota, Metazoa, Chordata, Aves, Anseriformes, Anatidae.
CACAGGUGGUUAGCAGAUAGGGACCUCAAAAACAGGAAAGAGCAAGGAGAGAUUAACUGAGUUUGGAAAAAGAGGCAAAGGAGAAACAGUUAGGGAGGUGUGGGCUAGAGUCCCUGAGAGUUAGCAAGAACCUAAAGCCUGAUUGCUUUUGGAAACUUCUGAAAGUUGUGUGUUCUCAUGGAUUUUCUGAAGUUUGGAAUGAAGCCACAUUACAAAUCUUUGUAACUUUGAUGAAGAAAAAUUCACGUUUCCCACACAGCAGCAGAGCUCUUGUCAUCACUUCCAGUCAAAGAAUGAUUAAUAGUGUCGCUACUGUUCGACAGUAACCUAGGAUGGAUUAACCUCCAGUACUAAAUCAAAACUGUACAGACAACUUAGGAUACAUGUAUUUUUUUUUCUUUCUUCUUGUCAUGAUGCUGCCUUUUCAUUGUUCCUUGGGCUAUAAGGACUUCAGUGCAUUGACUACUUUUUGACCUUCUUAAAUGCAUUUUUUCAAUUUAAGACAUUUUUAGUGCUGCCCUAUUUAUCAAUAGCCUUGUUUUCUAUAGUUUGGUCCAACUUGCAUCCCAGUUAAAAGUUUAAGUAUU